AUUGAACGCUGGCGGCAGGCCUAACACAUGCAAGUCGAACGGUAACAGGAAGAAGCUUGCUUCUUUGCUGACGAGUGGCGGACGGGUGAGUAAUGUCUGGGAAACUGCCUGAUGGAGGGGGAUAACUACUGGAAACGGUAGCUAAUACCGCAUAACGUCGCAAGACCAAAAAGGGGGACCUUCGGGCCUCUUGCCAUCGGAUGUGCCCAGAUGGGAUUAGCUAGUAGGUGGGGUAACGGCUCACCUAGGCGACGAUCCCUAGCUGGUCUGAGAGGAUGACCAACCACACUGGAACUGAGACACGGUCCAGACUCCUACGGGAGGCAGCAGUGGGGAAUAUUGCACAAAGGGCGCAAGCCUGAUGCAGCCAUGCCGCGUGUAUGAAGAAGGCCUUCGGGUUGUAAAGUACUUUCAGCGGGGAGGAAGGGAGUAAAGUUAAUACCUUUGCUCAUUGACGUUACCCGCAGAAGAAGCACCGGCUAACUCCGUG
RNAcentral lists this ribosomal RNA (490 nucleotides) under uncultured bacterium. RNAcentral describes it as "partial 16S ribosomal RNA". It matches the Rfam family "Bacterial small subunit ribosomal RNA", at positions 30 to 507 of the family's 1533-position model. The record is from RNAcentral.